RNAcentral lists this ribosomal RNA (452 nucleotides) under uncultured bacterium. Its description in RNAcentral is "partial 16S ribosomal RNA". It matches the Rfam family "Bacterial small subunit ribosomal RNA", at positions 355 to 803 of the family's 1533-position model. The record is from RNAcentral.
UGGGGGAUAUUGCACAAUGGGCGCAAGCCUGAUGCAGCGACGCCGCGUGAGGGAUGACGGCUUUCGGGUUGUAAAACCUCUUUCGCUACUGAACAAGGCCCUGCUUGUUGUGGGGUUGAGGGUAGGUGGAUAAGAAGCGCCGGCUAACUACGUGCCAGCAGCCGCGGUAAAUACGUAGGGCGCGAGCGUUGUCCGGAAUUAUUGGGCGUAAAGAGCUCGUAGGCGGCUUGUCGCGUCUGCUGUGAAAAACGCGGGGCUUAACUCCGCGCGUGCAGUGGGUACGGGCAGGCUAGAGUGUGGUAGGGGUGAUUGGAAUUCCUGGUGUAGCGGUGGAAUGCGCAGAUAUCAGGAGGAACACCGAUGGCGAAGGCAGGUCACUGGGCCAUUACUGACGCUGAGGAGCGAAAGCAUGGGGAGCGAACAGGAUUAGAUACCCUGGUAGUCCAUGCCGU